CCUACGGGUGGCAGCAGUGAGGAAUAUUGGUCAAUGGACGAGAGUCUGAACCAGCCAAGUAGCGUGAAGGAUGACUGCCCUAUGGGUUGUAAACUUCUUUUAUAUGGGAAUAAAAUGUUCCACGUGUGGGAUUUUGUAUGUAACAUAUGAAUAAGGAUCGGCUAACUCCGUGCCAGCAGCCGCGGUAAUACGGAGGAUCCGAGCGUUAUCCAGAUUUAUUGGGUUUAAAGGGAGCGUAGGUGGAUUGUUAAGUCAGUUGUGAAAGUUUGCGGCUCAACCGUAAAAUUGCAGUUGAAACUGGCAGUCUUGAGUACAGUAGAGGUGGGCGGAAUUCGUGGUGUAGCGGUGAAAUGCUUAGAUAUCACGAAGAACUCCGAUUGCGAAGGCAGUUCACUGGACUGCAACUGACACUGAGGCUCGAAAGUGUGGGUAUCAAACAGGAUUAGAUACCCUGGUAGUC
Molecule: ribosomal RNA, 460 nt
Filed under: uncultured bacterium
Lineage: Bacteria
Description: partial 16S ribosomal RNA
Rfam family: Bacterial small subunit ribosomal RNA
Source: RNAcentral